CGGCCGCGUCGACGACGGUACCUAACGAGGAAGCCACGGCUAACUACGUGCCAGCAGCCGCGGUAAUACGUAGGCGGCAAGCGUUGUCCGGAAUUAUUGGGCGUAAAGGGAGCGCAGGCGGGAAACUAAGCGGAUCUUAAAAGUGCGGGCGUCAACCCCGUCGAUGGGGUCCGGAACCUAGGUUUUCGUUUGUAGUGCAGGAGGAGGAAAGGACGGAAGUUACCCUACGUGUAGCGGUGGAAAUAGCGUAGAUAUUGGGUAAGAACACCAGUGGCGAAGGCGGCUUCUGGUACUGUAACUGACGCUGAGGCUCGAAAGCUAAGGGUAGCGGAACGGGAU
Molecule: ribosomal RNA, 339 nt
Filed under: uncultured Bacillota bacterium
Lineage: Bacteria; Bacillati; Bacillota
Description: bacterial SSU rRNA
Rfam family: Bacterial small subunit ribosomal RNA
Source: RNAcentral